GUAAGUUGCUUAACUUCUCUGGCCCUCAGUUUCCUCAUUUGUAAGACUGUUGCUGUUGUCACUGUCAUUCUUGCUGCUGCCAGCCUUUGCGCGGGCACCUGAAAGAAGCCCUGGGGAAAACUGUUUCUCAGAAAGUGAACAGAAUCUCCCCUGGACCUCCGUCGUCUCAUUGAUGAGACAAAUCCUGAUCCAGGAAAACUUCCGCCUUUUUCUGAUGGUGAAUUUCAUCCAAGCCUUCCAUUGACCUUUCUUCAGUAACUUCAUGGUGAUCUUCGCAGAUAAUCUUGUUCCCGAGGGUGUUCUUCCUUCUUCCAUAAGGAGCAUCGAAGACAGGGCAGGCUGUAUAUGCCCACAGUUAUGUGAUGAUUCUUCGUGUAUCUUCCUACAAGGAUUAAAGAUUUAACUCUUACCUGGCUGAGGAAAUUAAAAACCUGAUUGUAUCAGUAGUUUGAAAAAAUGACACGCAUUUAUUAAGAAAUCCAAAGAUUCAUAGCCUCAGACAUUAUACAAGAUUCAGUAGAAACAUAAUGGAUACAAGAGAUGAAAGGAAAAAGAGGAAGGAGAGGCCAAUGAGGGCUGAACGAUGUGAU
Molecule: long non-coding RNA, 590 nt
Filed under: Equus asinus (donkey)
Lineage: Eukaryota; Metazoa; Chordata; Mammalia; Perissodactyla; Equidae
Description: lncRNA (ENSEASG00005029929.1)
Source: RNAcentral